RNAcentral lists this long non-coding RNA (416 nucleotides) under Rattus norvegicus (Norway rat). RNAcentral describes it as "long non-coding RNA NONRATT005299". Lineage: Eukaryota; Metazoa; Chordata; Mammalia; Rodentia; Muridae. The record is from RNAcentral.
GUGCCACACAGCAGCAGGUGGAGAGCAGGCUUGGCGAGCUCCUGAAAUGCCGGCAGCCGGUGCCGCCGACCGCGCUACCCACGCGCGAGCAGCCCUCUGCACAGCCUCAGGGACCCUGGCCCCUUGCAAGUCCGGGGCCAAGGCUUGUGUUCAAUCGAGUGAAUGGCCGGAGGCCCCUCACCACCUCCCCAUCCCUCGAGGGGACCCAAGAGACCUUGUGGCUUGGCUGGGUACCGGCCACACCUGAAGUGCCAACAUUUGGACUUUUGCACCUGUUGUUCCCUUGGCUUGGCUGUCCCAAGAUGCCAGAGUCAGGGGUCAAACCUAUCUAACCUCAGUCCUGCUCACUGUGCCCAGGGACAAGCCCCUGGGGCUGGCAGGGAGGAGUUCAGGCUAAUAAAGUUGAUAAACUGCCC